AGAAAUUCAGUCUAGGGGUAUGAUUUUCGCUUCGCAUACUUUAAAUGUGCGUACUUGUGAAAGGUCGUGGGUUCAAUUCCCACAGCGUCCA
This is a non-coding RNA of Pyrenophora tritici-repentis Pt-1C-BFP, 91 nucleotides long. NCBI's taxonomy places the organism in Eukaryota, Fungi, Ascomycota, Dothideomycetes, Pleosporales, Pleosporaceae. The record is from the annotation of a RefSeq genome assembly.